Lemur catta (Ring-tailed lemur) is the source of this 104-nucleotide small nuclear RNA. The record is from RefSeq and is a predicted model, not a curated record. NCBI's taxonomy places the organism in Eukaryota, Metazoa, Chordata, Mammalia, Primates, Lemuridae.
GUAUUCGCUUCGGCAGCACAUAUACUAAAAUUGGAACGAUACAGAGAUUAGCAUGGUCACUGCGCAAGGAUGACACACGAAUUCGUGAAGUGUUCCAUAUUUAA